CUCUCUGUGGCGCAGUGGGCCAGUCCAUCUGGCUGUUAACCAGAAGUUUGAUGGUUCAAGCCCACCAAGGGAUG
Non-coding RNA from Podarcis lilfordi (Lilford's wall lizard), 74 nucleotides. The record is from the annotation of a GenBank genome assembly. NCBI's taxonomy places the organism in Eukaryota, Metazoa, Chordata, Lepidosauria, Squamata, Lacertidae.